UUCCGGUUGAUCCUGCCGGACCCGACUGCUAUUUGGGUGAGGAUAAACCAUGCGAGUUGAAUGGGAUACCUAAAUAUCCCAUAGCAAACUGCUCAGUAACACAUGAUCAACUUACCCUAUGGAGAAAAAUAACCUCGGGAAACUGAGGAUAAUGUUUCAUAGUUGAAUAGGCUUGGAAAAGUUUUUCAAUGAAAGGGAUAAGAAAAAUGGUUCUUAUUUGCCAUAGGAUAGGAUCGUGGUCGAUUAUGGUUGUUGGUGAGGUAACGGCUCACCAAGCCGAUAAUCGAUAGGGGCCGUGAGAGCGGGAGCCCCGAGAUGGGUACUGAGACAACGACCCAGGCCUUACGAGGCGCAGCAGGUGCGGAACCUCCGCAAUACACGAAAGUGUGACGGGGUUACCCAAAGUGUUCAUUAUUGAACUGUGGUAGGUGAGUAAUGUCCCCUACUAGAAAGGAGAGGGUAAGGCUGGUGCCAGCCGCCGCGGUAAAACCAGCUCUUCAAGUGGUCGGGAUGAUUAUUGGGCUUAAAGUGUCCGUAGCCGGUUUAGUAAGUUCCUGGUAAAAUCGGGUAGCUUAACUAUCCGUAUGCUAGGAAUACUGCUAUACUAGAGGGCGGGAGAGGUCUGAGGUACUAUAGGGGUAGGGGUGAAAUCCUAUAAUCCUUAUAGGACCACCAGUGGCGAAGGCGUCAGACUGGAACGCGCCUGACGGUGAGGGACGAAAGCCAGGGGAGCGAACCGGAUUAGAUACCCGGGUAGUCCUGGCCGUAAACGAUGCAUACUAGGUGAUGGCACGGCCAUGAGCCGUGUCAGUGCCGUAGGGAAACCGUUGAGUGUGCCGCCUGGGAAGUACGGUCGCAAGGCUAAAACUUAAAGGAAUUGGCGGGGGAGCACCACAAGGGGUGAAGCCUGCGGUUCAUUUGGAUUCAACGCCGGG
RNAcentral lists this ribosomal RNA (935 nucleotides) under uncultured archaeon. Its description in RNAcentral is "bacterial SSU rRNA". It matches the Rfam family "Archaeal small subunit ribosomal RNA", at positions 1 to 922 of the family's 1478-position model. The record is from RNAcentral.